UCCGGCUUGUCGCCGGCGGUCCCUUUAGAGUGCCCAACUAAAUGAUGGCAACUAAAGGCGAGGGUUGCGCUCGUUGCGGGACUUAACCCAACACCUCACGGCACGAGCUGACGACAGCCACGCAGCACCUGAACCGAAGGUCCCCGAAGGGAAGACCCCAUCUCUGGAGCUGUCCUCCGUUGUCUAGCCCAGGUAAGGUUCUUCGCGUUGCGUCGAAUUGAACCACAUGCUCCACCGCUUGUGCGGGCCCCCGUCAAUUCCUUUGAGUUUUAGCCUUGCGGCCGUAGUCCCCAGGCGGCGGACUUAAUGCGUUAGCUGCGGCGCCGAGGGGGUCGAUACCCCCGACACCUAGUCCGCAUCGUUUACGGCGUGGACUAC
This 378-nucleotide unclassified non-coding RNA is filed under the name uncultured bacterium. Its description in RNAcentral is "contains 16S-23S intergenic spacer region". The record is from RNAcentral.